UACGAAGGGGGCUAGCGUUGCUCGGAAUCACUGGGCGUAAAGGGUGCGUAGGCGGGUUUUUAAGUCAGGGGUGAAAUCCUGGAGCUCAACUCCAGAACUGCCUUUGAUACUGAAGAUCUUGAGUCCGGGAGAGGUGAGUGGAACUCCGAGUGUAGAGGUGAAAUUCGUAGAUAUUCGGAAGAACACCAGUGGCGAAGGCGGCUCACUGGCCCGGUACUGACGCUGAGAUACGAAAGCGUGGGGAGCAAACAGG
RNAcentral lists this ribosomal RNA (253 nucleotides) under uncultured bacterium. Its description in RNAcentral is "partial 16S ribosomal RNA". It matches the Rfam family "Bacterial small subunit ribosomal RNA", at positions 524 to 776 of the family's 1533-position model. The record is from RNAcentral.